Molecule: ribosomal RNA, 114 nt
Filed under: Lactococcus cremoris subsp. cremoris TIFN7
Lineage: Bacteria; Bacillati; Bacillota; Bacilli; Lactobacillales; Streptococcaceae
Description: Lactococcus lactis subsp. cremoris TIFN7 partial 16S ribosomal RNA
Rfam family: Bacterial small subunit ribosomal RNA
Source: RNAcentral
UUUAUUUGAGAGUUUGAUCCUGGCUCAGGACGAACGCUGGCGGCGUGCCUAAUACAUGCAAGUUGAGCGAUGAAGAUUGGUAGCUUGCACCAAUUUGAAGAGCAGCGAACGGGU